Molecule: unclassified non-coding RNA, 21 nt
Filed under: Chlamydomonas reinhardtii
Lineage: Eukaryota; Viridiplantae; Chlorophyta; Chlorophyceae; Chlamydomonadales; Chlamydomonadaceae
Description: small RNA Cre_1420
Source: RNAcentral
CGUUGGCUCGGCGUUUGUCGU